Molecule: ribosomal RNA, 457 nt
Filed under: uncultured Glomus
Lineage: Eukaryota; Fungi; Glomeromycota; Glomeromycetes; Glomerales; Glomeraceae
Description: SSU rRNA
Rfam family: Eukaryotic small subunit ribosomal RNA
Source: RNAcentral
AAGCUCGUAGUUGAAUUUCGGGGUUAGUAGGUUGGUCAUGCCUCUGGUAUGUACUGGUCUCACUGAUUCCUCCUUCCUGAUGAACCGUAAUGCCAUUAAUUUGGUGUUGCGGGGAAUUUGGACUGUUACUUUGAAAAAAUUAGAGUGUUUAAAGCAAGCUAACGCUUGAAUACAUUAGCAUGGAAUAAUGAAAUAGGACGUUCGAUCCUAUUUUGUUGGUUUCUAGGAUUGACGUAAUGAUUAAUAGGGAUAGUUGGGGGCAUUAGUAUUCAAUUGUCAGAGGUGAAAUUCUUGGAUUUAUUGAAGACUAACUACUGCGAAAGCAUUUGCCAAGGAUGUUUUCAUUAAUCAAGAACGAAAGUUAGGGGAUCGAAGACGAUCAGAUACCGUCGUAGUCUUAACCAUAAACUAUGCCGACUAGGGAUCGGAUGAUGUUAAUUUUUUAAUGACUCAUUCG